AUAUCAGUCAUGCAUAGCAUAUCAAUAAGCGGAGGAAAAGAAACUAACAAGGAUUCCCUUAGUAACGGCGAGUGAAGCGGGAAGAGCUCAAAUUUGAAAUCUUCAAGGUUUUACCUUGACGAAUUGUAGUUUAAAGAAGUGUUUUCUGUUGAAGUUUUGGUAAAAGUUCUUUGGAAUAGGACAUCAUAGAGGGUGAGAAUCCCGUAUUUGACCAUUACUUUCAGCUUUGUGAUACACUUUCAAAGAGUCGGAUUGUUUGGGAAUGCAGUCCAAAAUGGGUGGUAAAUUUCAUCUAAAGCUAAAUAUUGGCGAGAGACCGAUAGCGAACAAGUACCGUGAGGGAAGGAUGAAAAGAACUUUGAAAAGAGAGUUAAACAGUACGUGAAAUUGUCAAAAGGGAAGCGUUUGACACCAGUGUUGUUUUCUCGAAAAUCAAUUAAAAAGAGUUGGAUUUUGUGUUGUAUUGACUUUAUCAGCUUUCUUCACUCUUUUCCAGCUUUUUUUAAUGCACUUUUCGUUUAACAAGUCAACAUCAGUUUCUUUUGUUGUAAAAAGGUCAUUGGAAGGUGGCUUUCUCUUCGGAGAAAGUGUUUAUAGCCUUUGACUCAUGCAAUCGGAGAGACUGAGGUCUGCAGCGUAGAUCCUUCGGGGUUAGAUACAUUUGUGCUAAGUUAUAGCUUUUCAUAGACAACUUGUUGACUAUGUUUAGUCUUGUAGCUUACUCGCUUAUGCUAUUUUACCUACGCUUAGGAUGUUGAACUCUAUCACACACAG
This 774-nucleotide ribosomal RNA is filed under the name uncultured Neocallimastigales. Its description in RNAcentral is "partial large subunit ribosomal RNA". It matches the Rfam family "Eukaryotic large subunit ribosomal RNA", at positions 22 to 621 of the family's 3401-position model. The record is from RNAcentral. Lineage: Eukaryota; Fungi; Neocallimastigomycota; Neocallimastigomycetes; Neocallimastigales.